GAGUUUGAUCCUGGCUCAGAUUGAACGCUGGCGGAAUGCUUUACACAUGCAAGUCGAGCGGCAGCGCGGGGCAACCUGGCGGCGAGCGGCGAACGGGUGAGUAAUGCAUCGGAACAUGUCCAAGUCGUGGGGGAUAGCCCGGCGAAAAGCCGGAUUAAUACCGCAUGUGCCCGAGGGGGGAAAGUGGGGGACCGCAAGGCCUCACGCGAUUGGGUUGGCCGAUGUCCGAUUAGCUAGUUGGCGGGGUAAGAGCCCACCAAGGCGAUGAUCGGUAGCUGGUCUGAGAGGAUGAUCAGCCACACUGGGACUGAGACACGGCCCAGACUCCUACGGGAGGCAGCAGUGGGGAAUUUUGGACAAUGGGGGCAACCCUGAUCCAGCCAUUCCGCGUGAGUGAAGAAGGCCUUCGGUUGUAAG
Molecule: ribosomal RNA, 417 nt
Filed under: uncultured beta proteobacterium
Lineage: Bacteria; Pseudomonadati; Pseudomonadota; Betaproteobacteria
Description: bacterial SSU rRNA
Rfam family: Bacterial small subunit ribosomal RNA
Source: RNAcentral